UGGCGGCGGCGGCGGAGGGCUCUGGGCUCCGCUGGGGAGGAGCUGCAGACGCCUCCAGCGCUGAUGCUGCUCCGGCUCCUUCUCCUUCUUCUGCUCCUACAGCCUUUGCAGCUGCUGCCACGUCCGCUUCCCCGUCUGGGGCUCUCAGCGGCCGCAGCAGGGACGACACGUGUCUAUGCUCUGGCAUGCUAGUGGUCGUGGUCUAACUCUUAGGAGGAACCUGGUGACACAGUGAAGAAUCUCUCACUAGAGGUUUCCAUACAGAAGUCAGUCAAUAACAGAAGGGGACAAUUUCAGCUCACAGUGGCAUCACCUUGUUUGUAUUGUACAGAACAUCCUUUUAGAUUGGAUUUGGUAUUGAC
Long non-coding RNA from Sceloporus undulatus (fence lizard), 362 nucleotides. RefSeq lists it as uncharacterized. The transcript is spliced from 3 exons. Lineage: Eukaryota; Metazoa; Chordata; Lepidosauria; Squamata; Phrynosomatidae. The record is from RefSeq and is a predicted model, not a curated record.